UGGAGAGCUUGCUUUCCAUGARAGUGGCGCACGGGCYGCGUAACACGUAUGUAACCUACCUUGUUCAGGGGGAUAGCCUCUCGAAAGAGAGAUUAAGACCGCAUAACAUUAUUGAAUGGCAUCGUUUAAUAAUCAAAUAUUUAUAGGAACAAGAUGGGCAUGCGGAACAUUAGCUAGUUGGUAAGGUAACGGCUUACCAAGGCUACGAUGUUUAGGGGAUCUGARAGGAUGACCCCCCACACUGGUACUGAGACACGGACCAGACUCCUACGGGAGGCAGCAGUAAGGAAUAUUGGUCAAUGGGCGGAAGCCUGAACCAGCCAUGCCGCGUGCAGGAAGACGGCCCUAUGGGUUGUAAACUGCUUUUAUACUGGAAUAAACCUUGAUUCGUGAAUCAAGCUGAAUGUACAGUAAGAAUAAGGAUCGGCUAACUCCGUGCCAGCAGCCGCGGUAAUACGGAGGAUCCAAGCGUUAUCCGGAUUUAUUGGGUUUAAAGGGUGCGUAGGUGGUUCUUUAAGUCAGGGGUGAAAGACGGCAGCUUAACUGUCGCAGUGCCUUUGAUACUGAAGAACUUGAAUGAACUAGAGGUAGGCGGAAUGUGACAAGUAGCGGUGAAAUGCAUAGAUAUGUCACAGAACACCAAUUGCGAANGCAGCUUACUAUGGUUUGAUUGACACUGANGCACGAAAGCGUGGGGAUCANACANGAUUAGAUACCCUGGUAGUCCACGCCCUNNACGAUGAAUACUCGAUGUUGGCGAUAUACNGUCAGCGUCUAANCNAAAGCGUUAAGUAUUNCNCCUGGGGAGUACNCCCGCANGGGNGAAACUCAAANGAAUUGAC
This 842-nucleotide ribosomal RNA is filed under the name Sphingobacteriaceae bacterium kmd_130. RNAcentral's name for it is "partial 16S ribosomal RNA". It matches the Rfam family "Bacterial small subunit ribosomal RNA", at positions 72 to 914 of the family's 1533-position model. The record is from RNAcentral. Lineage: Bacteria; Pseudomonadati; Bacteroidota; Sphingobacteriia; Sphingobacteriales; Sphingobacteriaceae.